Molecule: ribosomal RNA, 253 nt
Filed under: uncultured bacterium
Lineage: Bacteria
Description: partial 16S ribosomal RNA
Rfam family: Bacterial small subunit ribosomal RNA
Source: RNAcentral
UACGCAGGGCGCGCGCGUUGUCCGGAAUUACUGGGCGUAAAGAGCUCGUAGGUGGUUUGUCGCGUUGUUCGUGAAAACUCACAGCUUAACUGUGGGCGUGCGGGCGAUACGGGCAGACUGGAGUACUGCAGGGGAGACUGGAAUUCCUGGUGUGGCGGUGGAAUGCGCAGAUAUCAGGAGGAACACCGGUGGCGAAGGCGGGUCUCUGGGCAGUAACUGGCGCUGAGGAGCGAAAGCGUGGGGAGCGAACAGG